RNAcentral lists this ribosomal RNA (253 nucleotides) under uncultured bacterium. RNAcentral's name for it is "partial 16S ribosomal RNA". It matches the Rfam family "Bacterial small subunit ribosomal RNA", at positions 524 to 776 of the family's 1533-position model. The record is from RNAcentral.
UACGUAGGUGGCAAGCGUUGUCCGGAUUUACUGGGCGUAAAGGAUGCGUAGGCUGACAUUUAAGUCAGAUGUGAAAUACCCGAGCUUAACUUGGGUGCUGCAUUUGAAACUGGGUGUCUAGAGUGCAGGAGAGGUAAGUGGAAUUCCUAGUGUAGCGGUGAAAUGCGUAGAGAUUAGGAAGAACACCAGUGGCGAAGGCGACUUACUGGACUGUAACUGACGCUGAGGCAUGAAAGCGUGGGGAGCAAACAGG